GGCGGAGAGGCGGCCAGCGGCGGAGAGGCGGCCAGCGGCGGCGCGGUGGAGAGGCGGACAGCGGCGGAGAGGCGGACAGCGGCAGCGCAGCGGAGAGACGGACAGCGGCGGAGAGGCAGACAGCGGCAGCGCGGCGGAGAGGCGGACAGCGGCAGCGCGGCGGAGAGACGGACAGCGGCGGAGAGGCAGACAGUGGCGGCGAGGCGCGCAGCGGCGGCGCAGGCGCGGAGAGGCGCUGGCGCCGGCUCUGGCUCGGAGAGGCGCAGGCCCAGGCUCCACUCCCCAGCUGUGAAAGGGUUUUCUGCCUCCUGCUAAGCCAAUUUAUACAUUCCAAGAAAAUCUUCCAUUUCAUCCAGGUGAAACAGAACCUACUGGAAUGAAGCUGGCCUCCCAUGGAAUGAAGCUGGCCUCCCGUCUCCUUGAUUUGAAGCAGCUUCUCCACGUUGGUUAUUAUGCCAUUUUUCUAAAUCUAACAUUUUAAAAUUUGUGCCUUUUCUUUCUCUUUUGCUUGACUUCUCAGAGGUUUUUUUAACGGUCUUUUCAAAGAAGUGGUUUUCGGUUUUAUUUAUCAAGUCUACUUUUAUUAUGGCUGUUUUAAAAUUAAAUACAUU
RNAcentral lists this long non-coding RNA (611 nucleotides) under Homo sapiens (human). RNAcentral describes it as "HSALNT0304206". The record is from RNAcentral. Lineage: Eukaryota; Metazoa; Chordata; Mammalia; Primates; Hominidae.